GAUGGUGUUGUGAUGAAUAUUAUGUUCUCACAAGUGGUACCGGCUCGUUAUGAUGCAUAUCAGACUGCCAAGGAAGCGGAUAAGAAAAGGUUUUUGUGGGAUUCAGAUGUGAUAUCAAUGAUUACGGGAAUUGACAAUCAAUUUCUGGCAUCGUGGAAGGGAGUAGACACUGUAUAUUGGUGCCAGAACUACCUUCAAGCGCAUUGGUUUGCAGUUGAAGCCUCCAUUUCUACUUGGACUCUGAAUGUUUAUGAUUCGGACGUGACCGUGAUAAGUGAUAAACAACUGCAAUCUUUUAUGAAGUCAUGGUCUACUUUGUUCCCAUCGUUGUUAUUACAGUCACAACUUUUCAAGGACGACCCUCGGUUGACGAUUCCACCUGGAGCUAAAAGAUGCAAAGAGUUCAAUGUGCACCGCAUGCCAGUUGAUUAAGUACCCCAAACCAAAGUCAGUGGAGAUUGUGGUGUGUACGCCAUCAAGCACAUCGAACACUUAUUGGGUAGGCUACCACUUGACACGAUUUGCGAUGACAACAUGGAGUUGUUCAGAAACAAAUGGACAGUUGACUUAUGGUAUCAGAAUGUUAGACAUUGAACAUUCUCAUGUUAUAUUUAUUUGCUUAAAAUGUAGAUUUUUAAGAAAUUUUUUUGAGUCGAGUAUCUUUUUAUUAA
Molecule: long non-coding RNA, 671 nt
Organism: Humulus lupulus (European hop)
Lineage: Eukaryota; Viridiplantae; Streptophyta; Magnoliopsida; Rosales; Cannabaceae
Exons: 2
Source: RefSeq, a predicted model, not a curated record